This 84-nucleotide transfer RNA is filed under the name Reyranella sp. RNAcentral describes it as "tRNA-His". It matches the Rfam family "tRNA". Rfam says of the family: Transfer RNA (tRNA) molecules are approximately 80 nucleotides in length. Their secondary structure includes four short double-helical elements and three loops (D, anti-codon, and T loops). The record is from RNAcentral. Lineage: Bacteria; Pseudomonadati; Pseudomonadota; Alphaproteobacteria; Hyphomicrobiales; Reyranellaceae.
UUGGGCGUGGUGGAACGGUAGACACGUCGGUUUGUGGAACCGAUGCCGCGAGGUUUAUGGGUUCGACUCCCAUCGCUCAACCCA